CCUACGGGAGGCUGCAGUCGAGAAUUAUUCACAAUGGGGGAAACCCUGAUGGUGCGACGCCGCGUGGGGGAAUGAAGGUCUUCGGAUUGUAAACCCCUGUCAUGUGGGAGCAAAUUAAAAAGAUAGUACCACAAGAGGAAGAGACGGCUAACUCUGUGCCAGCAGCCGCGGUAAUACAGAGGUCUCAAGCGUUGUUCGGAAUCACUGGGCGUAAGGCGUGCGUAGGCUGUUUCGUAAGUCGUGUGUGAAAGGCGCGGGCUCAACCCGCGGACGGCACAUGAUACUGCGAGACUAGAGUAAUGGAGGGGGAACCGGAAUUCUCGGUGUAGCAGUGAAAUGCGUAGAUAUCGAGAGGAACACUCGUGGCGAAGGCGGGUUCCUGGACAUUAACUGACGCUGAUGCACGAAGGCCAGGGGAGCGAAAGGGAUUAGAUACCCCAGUAGUC
This 446-nucleotide ribosomal RNA is filed under the name uncultured bacterium. Its description in RNAcentral is "partial 16S ribosomal RNA". It matches the Rfam family "Bacterial small subunit ribosomal RNA", at positions 338 to 795 of the family's 1533-position model. The record is from RNAcentral.